RNAcentral lists this ribosomal RNA (1324 nucleotides) under metagenome. RNAcentral's name for it is "bacterial LSU rRNA". It matches the Rfam family "Bacterial large subunit ribosomal RNA", at positions 1561 to 2925 of the family's 2925-position model. The record is from RNAcentral.
AGUGGAUGGGGAGCAACCUAGUUGUGCGUGUGUAAAGGUAGUGCCAAGAAAAGCGGUGAUCAUGAUGAAAAUCAAUUCCCGGUACCCGAAACCGACACAGGUGGGCAAGUAGAGAAUACUAAGGGGCGCGAGGUAACUCUCUCCAAGGAACUCGGCAAAAUGACCCCGUAACUUAGGGAGAAGGGGUGCCACCGAGAGGUGGUCGCAGUGAAGAGGCCCAGGCGACUGUUUAGCAAAAACAUAGGUCUCUGCAAACUCGAAAGAGGAGGUAUAGGGGCUGACGCCUGCCCAGUGCCGGAAGGUUAAAGAAGUUGGUCAGUCUUAGGAUGAAGCUAGCGACUGAAGCCCCGGUGAACGGCGGCCGUAACUAUAACGGUCCUAAGGUAGCGAAAUUCCUUGUCGGGUAAGUUCCGACCCGCACGAAAGGCGUAACGAUCUGGCGCUGUCUCGGAGAGAGGCUCGGCGAAAUAGGAUUGUCUGUGAAGAUACGGACUACCUGCAUUUGGACAGAAAGACCCUAUGAAGCUUUACUAUAGCUUGGAAUUGUGUUCGGGCUUCCUGUGCGCAGGAUAGGUGGGAGGCGUAGAAGGUAUUCUUGUGGGGAUACUGGAGCCAACGGUGAGAUACCACUCUCAGGAGGCUAGAAUUCUAACUUAAUUAAGGACAGUUUCAGGUGGGUAGUUUGACUGGGGCGGUCGCCUCCAAAAAGGUAACGGAGGCGUACAAAGGUUCCCUCAGACUGGUUGGAAAUCAGUCGAAGAGUGCAAAGGCAGAAGGGAGCUUGACUGCGAGAAGUACAGUUCGAGCAGGGUGGAAACACGGUCUUAGUGAUCCGACGGUGCUGUGUGGAAGGGCCGUCGCUCAACGGAUAAAAGUUACUCUAGGAUAACAGGCUGAUCUCCCCCAAGAGCUCACAUCGACGGGGAGGUUUGGCACCUCGAUGUCGGCUCAUCGCAACCUGGGGCGGAAGUACGUCCCAAGGGUUGGGCUGUUCGCCCAUUAAAGCGGUACGUGAGCUGGGUUCAGAACGUCGUGAGACAGUUCGGUCCAUAUCCGAUGUAGGCGUGAGAAUAUUGAGAGGAGCCUUCCUUAGUACGAGAGGACCGGGAAGGACGCACCGCUGGUGUACCUGUUAUGAUGCCAAUUGUAAACGCAGGGUAGCCAAGUGCGGAGAGGAUAACCGCUGAAAGCAUCUAAGUGGGAAGCCCACCUCAAGAUGAGUAUUCUGGUGUAAGGUCACGGGAAGACGACCCGUAAAUAGGCACGAGGUGGAAGUGCAGAGAUGUAUGAAGCCGAAGUGUACUAAUAGACCGUCGGCUUGACC